AUAAAGAUAUUCAUAUUAUCAAUAUCAAAUAACCAUCAAGGAUAAAAUGAUAAGAUAAGUAAAAAAUUUGCCAAAUGAUAAUUAGGGGAAUUUGGAUGAGUUCUAAAACAUAAUUUAGUCAAAGAACACAGAGUUUCACUCAUUUUUUUUCUUAGAAAAUCAUAAGAGAUUUAAGAUUUAAGAAAUAAGUUAGAUGAAAAAUACUCCCAAACAAUCAUAUUAUUAGAUUAAUUAUUAAUCAUAUACGUUUUGACUAUAGUAAAUAAUAACUCAUCAUCGACCAAUCAAAGAAUGACAUUUAAUCCUUCCAACAUCACUCCCCGGCAAUGUCAUGAAUAUGAUAAAGCUACGGCCAAAUGCAUGAACGCCCUCACAGUUACAAUUGAAAAUGACUUCGAGCUUUCAUUUUAUGCAUUUGUGUAUGCAGAUGUCAUAUGGGAACUUGCCAAAACAGAUCAUUAUUUUGUUUCAUUCUUUAGGUACAUCUUAAUAAUCUUUGUUUUUUUGUCUUUUUCUGUUGCUGUUUUUUUAAUCUUAUUUGUAGUUUAAGUAAGGAUGACUAUUUACUGAUUAAGAAAUGUGGAUUCCACAUCCCUGAGUUACACGCACAUAUUUAUAUCAAUAAAAUAGACAAGGCUCUUUUGGACAUAAUUAAGUGCAUCGAGCAAUCAAAAAUGACCAAGAAAUAAAGAAACCCGACGCUUUAAUUUCUCUGGUUUCGAACGAUGUCCAUGUUAUGGCAUGCAACGAUUAUACUGGAGCUUUCUGGUUUAAGGCCAUGAUCCUUUUAGGUAGCAAAUUUGAAUAAAUUUUUUUUUGAGAGUAAAUAAAAUAUUUAUUUUGCAAAGCAUUACAGUAUAUCUCGCACUAAUAGUAGAGUGGGUAUUUAAUAAAGAAUGAUUAAUUCCGAGUGUUUACAACAUUACAGUAUAUCUUUGACCAUUAAAGUUACUUUAUGGAGUUCCAUGAAAUCUCACCCCAAAUAGAAUAAAUUUUGAAGAGUUUUGUUGACUGGAGUGAGGAAUGAAGGAAAAAUAAUCAUCAAAUUCAUAAUGGAGUGGUUUGUACUCUUCAUCCCACUCUUCAUCCUCAUAUACAUAUAA
Molecule: long non-coding RNA, 1103 nt
Filed under: Citrus x clementina
Lineage: Eukaryota; Viridiplantae; Streptophyta; Magnoliopsida; Sapindales; Rutaceae
Description: Citrus clementina (C. clementina) long non-coding RNA (CCLE_LNC004618)
Source: RNAcentral